UACGGGGGGAGCAAGCGUUGUUCGGAUUUACUGGGCGUAAAGGGCGCGUAGGCGGCGCGACAAGUCACUUGUGAAAUCUCUGGGCUCAACCCAGAACGGUCAAGUGAUACUGUCGUGCUAGAGUGCGGAAGGGGCAACUGGAAUUCUCGGUGUAGCGGUGAAAUGCGUAGAUAUCGAGAGGAACACCUGCGGCGAAGGCGGGUUGCUGGGCUGACACUGACGCUGAUGCGCGAAAGCCAGGGGAGCGAACGGG
Molecule: ribosomal RNA, 253 nt
Filed under: uncultured bacterium
Lineage: Bacteria
Description: partial 16S ribosomal RNA
Rfam family: Bacterial small subunit ribosomal RNA
Source: RNAcentral